GUGCCAGCAGCCGCGGUAAGACGAGCCACCCGAACGUUAUUCGGAAUUACUGGGCUUAAAGGGUGCGUAGGCGGUGUAGCAAGUCGGGAGUGAAAUACCUCAGCUUAACUGAGGAACUGCUUUCGAUACUGCUAUGCUUGAGUGAGACAGAGGUAAGCGGAACUUAGGGUGGAGCGGUGAAAUGCGUUGAUAUCCUAAGGAACACCGGUGGCGAAGGCGGCUUACUGGGUCUCUACUGACGCUGAGGCACGAAAGCCAGGGUAGCAAACGGGAUUAGAUACCCGGGUAGUCC
Molecule: ribosomal RNA, 292 nt
Filed under: uncultured bacterium
Lineage: Bacteria
Description: partial 16S ribosomal RNA
Rfam family: Bacterial small subunit ribosomal RNA
Source: RNAcentral